GAUGAACGCUGGCGGCGUGCCUAAUACAUGCAAGUCGAGCGAACAGACGAGGAGCUUGCUCCUCUGACGUUAGCGGCGGACGGGUGAGUAACACGUGGAUAACCUACCUAUAAGACUGGGAUAACUUCGGGAAACCGGAGCUAAUACCGGAUAAUAUAUUGAACCGCAUGGUUCAAUAGUGAAAGACGGUUUUGCUGUCACUUAUAGAUGGAUCCGCGCCGCAUUAGCUAGUUGGUAAGGUAACGGCUUACCAAGGCAACGAUGCGUAGCCGACCUGAGAGGGUGAUCGGCCACACUGGAACUGAGACACGGUCCAGACUCCUACGGGAGGCAGCAGUAGGGAAUCUUCCGCAAUGGGCGAAAGCCUGACGGAGCAACGCCGCGUGAGGGAUGAAGGUCUUCGGAUCGUAAAACUCUGUUAUUAGGGAAGAAAAAAUGUGUAAGUAACGAUGCACGUCUUGACGGUACCUAAUCAGAAAGCCACGGCUAACUACGUGC
RNAcentral lists this ribosomal RNA (498 nucleotides) under uncultured bacterium. Its description in RNAcentral is "partial 16S ribosomal RNA". It matches the Rfam family "Bacterial small subunit ribosomal RNA", at positions 28 to 508 of the family's 1533-position model. The record is from RNAcentral.